GACGAACGCUGGCGGCGUGCUUAACACAUGCAAGUCGAACGGAAAGGCCCUGCUUUUGUGGGGUGCUCGAGUGGCGAACGGGUGAGUAACACGUGAGUAACCUGCCCUUGACUUUGGGAUAACUUCAGGAAACUGGGGCUAAUACCGGAUAGGAGCUCCUGCUGCAUGGUGGGGGUUGGAAAGUUUCGGCGGUUGGGGAUGGACUCGCGGCUUAUCAGCUUGUUGGUGGGGUAGUGCUUACCAAGGCUUUGACGGGUAGCCGGCCUGAGAGGGUGACCGGCCACAUUGGGACUGAGAUACGGCCCAGACUCCUACGGGAGGCAGCAGUGGGGAAUAUUGCACAAUGGGCGGAAGCCUGAUGCAGCAACGCCGCGUGCGGGAUGACGGCUUUCGGGUUGUAAACCGCUUUCGCCUGUGACGAAGCGUGAGUGACGGUAAUGGGUAAAGAAGCACCGGCUAACUACGUG
RNAcentral lists this ribosomal RNA (467 nucleotides) under uncultured bacterium. Its description in RNAcentral is "partial 16S ribosomal RNA". It matches the Rfam family "Bacterial small subunit ribosomal RNA", at positions 28 to 507 of the family's 1533-position model. The record is from RNAcentral.